UACAGAGGUCCCAAGCGUUGUUCGGAUUCACUGGGCGUAAAGGGUGCGUAGGUGGUGAGGUAAGUCAGAUGUGAAAUCUCCGGGCUCAACCCGGAAAUGGCAUUGGAAACUACCUUGCUGGAGGGUUUGAGGGGGGAUUGGAAUACUUGGUGUAGCAGUGAAAUGCGUAGAUAUCAAGUGGAACACCAGUGGCGAAGGCGAAUCCCUGGAAAACACCUGACACUGAGGCGCGAAAGCUAGGGGAGCAAACAGG
Molecule: ribosomal RNA, 253 nt
Filed under: uncultured bacterium
Lineage: Bacteria
Description: partial 16S ribosomal RNA
Rfam family: Bacterial small subunit ribosomal RNA
Source: RNAcentral